CGAAGAGAAAGGUAGACUCCUCCAUUCCCCCCUCUUUUUUUUCGUUUUUAUUGGUUGAAUUUGUAGAUCGAAGGGUAACCCUAGAACCCCUUUUUAUUGGUGAGGACACGGAGAACACACUCCGCAAUGUUUUAGAGAAAGUUCGUCAAAGGUGCCGGAAACUUGUAGCAAGAUUAGGUUGCAGGUCGGUUGGAUUGGACGACGUGUACCAACCGUGGAGACUACCACCACCACUACCUCAAUCCGCGCGUCCAAGUACUGCUCGACACUCCAUCAGGAUAGAAGAGCGUGAAGAAGUUGGUGGCUCAUCAUCGUCACGCAUUCCGCAAGGGAGGGGAAAGGGGAAGGCGCCGGCUCCACCUAGCGACGACGAUGACGAUGACGACGACGACGACGAGGAUGAGGACUACGUCGCACCAGACACUGAGGAGAUAGACAUGUCGUAGCUUCCCGACGCACCUCAGGGGACGCAACCCACGCAAUACAACUUGCGAUCUACUCGGGCAGCGAAAAAGAGGUACACUCCGGGCUCGCAAGCAAUUCGGCGCCAAUGGAAGAAGUGAUUUGUAUGAAGUUAAUCUAUUUGUUGGUAGUAUGACAUAUGUGGUGCACUAUGUGAUAUAAAAGGUGAUGGACUAUGUGAGGACUAUGUGAUCGACUUUUGGCAUUGUUUGAUGUGUCGAAUAUGUGAUGGACUUUUGGCAUUGUUUGAUGUGUGGAAUAUGUGAUGGACUUUUGGCAUUGUUUGAUGUGUGGAAUAUGAGAUGGACUAUGUGAGGACUAUAUGAUGGACUUUUGGCAUUGUGAUUUGUGCAAUUGGAACUUGUUUUAGUCUGUAUGAAUCUGUGAAUUGUGAUUUGAAUUGCGAACUGUGAA
Oryza sativa Japonica Group (Japanese rice) is the source of this 876-nucleotide non-coding RNA. The record is from RefSeq and is a predicted model, not a curated record. NCBI's taxonomy places the organism in Eukaryota, Viridiplantae, Streptophyta, Magnoliopsida, Poales, Poaceae.